This 216-nucleotide long non-coding RNA is filed under the name Elaeis guineensis (African oil palm). RNAcentral's name for it is "long non-coding RNA (EGUI_LNC051294)". Lineage: Eukaryota; Viridiplantae; Streptophyta; Magnoliopsida; Arecales; Arecaceae. The record is from RNAcentral.
CGGUGUAGAGAGAUUGGGAUGAAAGUGUGGGUAGUUGUUAGAAAAUAACUUAUACUGAGCGUGACCAACAUGAGAACCACAUGGAUGUCUACUCACUUAUCAGUGAUCUUCAUGAUGCUACAAUGAUGUGAGUGGUCCUUUGACCUACGAUGCCAUUGGCUAUUUGCAGCAAGGCUACUAGGUUUGACUGUACGUUUUCUUGAUCCCUAGCCAUUC